Long non-coding RNA from Spinacia oleracea (spinach), 5927 nucleotides. RefSeq lists it as uncharacterized. The record is from RefSeq and is a predicted model, not a curated record. Lineage: Eukaryota; Viridiplantae; Streptophyta; Magnoliopsida; Caryophyllales; Amaranthaceae. The transcript is spliced from 2 exons.
CAAGUUAAUUUGUCAAUUUAAUGUUGCCUAAAAAGUUUGAUCUCGUGGAUGAAGAAAGUGAAACAAAAAAUUAUACACGCUAGUUCCGGAACAACCAACAGGAAGUUGGCUUCCACUACCGAAUCCUAUUACCGGAAGUCGGUUUUGACUAUCGGAUUCUUCCACCGACAGUCACAUUUAACCGUCGGCUGGUUGUUCCGAGCAACCUUUUGUUGUUAAUUGAGUUGCGUUUGGGAUUUAAAUUGUUGUCCACUAAGUGUUUGUUGAAAUGACACUGUUUUUUCAUAUUGUAAUUUGACUUUUUUGAAGUCUUCUUGCAUCAUGCCUUAUGGUUAUGAGUCUUUUGAUAGUGUGAGACAUGAGAGUUUGAAACAGCUAUGGGUGUUUCUAGUCAUGCUUAUUUUUAGGUUGUUAUUAACUCCCCUGAUUAAUUUUUUUAAAACUUAAUUGGAGGCCUUGUGCCAGUAAAGCUCAGACUUCAAUUGGAAAUAUUAUUGUUGUUGAUGUGUUGUAAACGGCAAGAUGUAUUGGACCUGGGGGUGGGGGGGGUCAACUUAUUUGUUGUCUACUGCUUUUUGAAUGUUGGUUAUUUGGGGUUAAAUCACCGACUAGUUAUAAUUUGUCUAAGAUUCAAAGUGAGCUGAUUUAAAGUCUUGCAUUAGUCCAAUACACUAAUCUACUUGGUAUUUUAUUAUUAUUAUUAUUAUUAUUAUUAUUACUAGAUUAGGUCCCGUGCACGCACAGAUAUUCAAAAAUUAUUAUUUGAUCAUCUUUUUUUAUAAAAUAUUAACCGAAAUAUUUAUUGCUUAAAGCUAAUGCUUAAUUAAUAAAUCUUGAAUGUACUCAAUCUAAUAUGAAAUUUUCUCCCUAAUACGUAUUACGGAGUAUAUAUUUUAUAUGUUGAAUAUGAUAAUUUGACCAAAAUAUUUAAUAUGCUUAAUAUGUUAAUUUGACCAAAUUAAAUAUUGAGUAAUUAUAUAUUUUCUAUAAUUGAUAUGUCGAUUUGACUAAAAUAUUACCAGAAUCGUUUAAUACUGUAAUAUACUAUAAUCUUUUUUUUCCCAUAUAUAGCAGUUUAUACAAAAGGGAGAGAAAAUAAAAUAAUAAAUAAAGUAGAUACGUUUUUUUAGGAAAUGGUUUUUGGCGGGAAAAUUUUGUACCAAGAAAUGACAUGUGUCAUUCCUGGUGUAUGUUUUAGUAUAAUGUAAUAGAUUAUUAUUAUUAUUAUUAUUAUUAUUAUUAUUAUUAUUAUUAUUAUUAUUUGGCUGCAUAAAAAAUAUCCUUGGGCCAUUAAUAUAUCAAAUGUCAGCUAAGACCCCUACGACACUUAGCUUUGUGCUAAAUUGGAUGUGUGCUAAAAAUUACUUUCAACCUGCCGUAGUUUGAGUACUCUGGGAGUCUGCUCAAUACUUGUUUGACAUACCAUUUCCAGUCUUCCAGUUACAGUACAAGGCAGUUUGCCUGUGAUGCCAUUGUGCAUUAUACUCCCUUUCUUUGAAAAAAAAAAAUCCCCUUAUACCCACUAGCUUCUGAUUAAGUAGGAAUUAAGCAUGAUUUUUUAACUUGUUAUCUUCUAUGUGAAAAUAAGAAUUUAAAUUUACACGUGAGAUUAUUUUCCAUCAUCAUCAAUAUAUAGUACAAUGUAUUGCUAAUCCUACAAGGACCAAGAAGCCUAGUAGUACUCACCAACUAAAUAACGUAUUAAGGUAAUUUAUUUCUAGACUAACACACAAAUAUUAUUAUCCUAGGCUAACACAAACACUAUUAUAUAUCCUAAUUCUAAUUAUUAUACUUCUGUAAUAUCCUCCUUCACAUUGGAGCAUGGUGAGGAUCAUGGCUAGCUAGGACUGUAAUGAGCAAGAGUAUAUUCUUAGUUGUCCACUUGAACUCGAAUGUGUUUUAAUGUUUACAGAUGUCACAUGUAACAAGAGGUGGUAGAGGUGGUAGGGGUGGAGGUCGUACUAACAAGAGGGUCAUUGAAGAUGAUCUUGUGCCACUGAUAUGUCCAACCGUAUCUAAUAGAACUAAAAAAGCUCGAAAAAUAAUACUUAAGCUGCCUACUCCAAAUUGUAGGCCAGAAUACAGUGAACAAAGUAAUCGUGUUGAAGAAUACUUGAAUUCAUUUCAAAAAUCACUUGAAAGUUCUGAAAACAAAAAGAAUACUCCCUCCGUCCCAAAUUAGUCGUUACACUUACCUUUGCACAAAGUUUUAGGUGAUAAGUGGUUGUUUGGUUAUCAAUUGUUAUUUUAUUGAAAAAGUAGAUGUGAUAGGAGUUAGUGGGGUAUUUUUUUAAUUGAAUGAGAGAGUAUGUAAGGUAAAAAAAGAAAAAUUAGUAGGAAGAGAGAGACAAUAUAAUAAUUGUGGGGUCAUUCCUAAUUUAGAAGUGUAACAACUAAUCUGGGAAGGACGAAAAAGGAAAGUGUAACAACUAAUCUAGGACGGAAGGAGUAUUAUGUUUGAAGUGGGUCAUCAAACUAACAAUGGUGAUAAAAAUUAUGAUGAUAAUGAGGAGGAGGAGGAGCCUUUACAACGACAAUAUGGGUCAAGAAUAAGUAGUUAUCGAGGUACCUUUGAGGUACAUGGUCGAUUUGGUGUGGGAAGACGCAUGGAAGAAGUUUUUUUUUUAGAUGAAUACAGUGAAUUGCAAGAACCAAUUCAGGGUGGCCCUAAAAAUCCUGAGUUAUUAAAGAGUUUUUGCGGUCACGUUGCUUAUUAUAUUUGGCAUAAUCAGGUAGGAACUCUUAAAACUCAACUUAAUUUAUUCAUUUUUGUAGUAUUUUAAGUUGCUGAAUUGUUUAUUAAAUGUUUGUAUGAUAAUUAAUCUAGUGAAUUUCUUUGAUGUUUAUUUGUUUUCCUCUUUUUUUUACGAACUGUGUUAAAAGGUCACAAGCAAAGUGAGUGUUUAAUGAAGUGAAAACUAAUAUGAAGGAGGUGAAGGCGUUAAUCGAGUGUACUGAACUUUCUCAUGUGGUUGAGUGUAUGUAUUCUAACUUGAACAUGCCGUUAGUAUCUGUUUUUGUGGAGAAGUGGCACUCCGAAAUGAAUUCUUUUCAUCUAUCAUUUGGAGAGAUAACCAUAACUCUUACAUGACGUGGCAUUCAUUCUGUGUUUCCUCACUGGAGAAGCUGUUUUUGGAAAACCUAGUGUUUUUUAAGAAUUGAAGGGUCAUCUUAAAAAUAUCCUUAAUAUAUUUGAAGGCGGUGUGAAAAAAGAAUAUCAUAAUGGAAAUGUUAGGAUUAUUUCUUGAUGAACUAAAAAGUGAUACCGCAGGUGCACGAUAUCUGUUGUUAGCAGAUACUUAGCAAAUACGGGUCGAUCCCACAGGGAGACAAGUUCUACUAGUUUUUGCUCAAUUAUAUAAACUAUUUCAAUAAACAAAAGGUAAUUUUUUUGUUUAAAACUAAUGAAACUAAAACAAUAAUAUAAAUGUAGGAUUUAUCAAUGAAUUAAAGAUCUAGGGCGUACGUUUGGUCCGCCAUGCUUAUACCUUAUCCAAGAACACAAAUCAAUCCGGAAAUAAAUAAACUAGGCCGAUUAAUUAAAGUACAUGUUAAUCCUACGGCCGGGUCUUAACACUUUCAAUCCAACAUAUGCAGUACGGUCGCUAACAUAGUAAGAAUUGCCAAUUGUUCCAAGCCUCUAAGAAUACGAUCUUUCAUUUCUAAUUCCUAUUAGCUAGACAAUCAAUCCAUGAUAUUGGCCAAUUACAUGAAUCAACAAUUAAGAACAAAUCAAUUGGAAUUACUCAAGCAUACUCUAUAAAUGAACAAACUUCAAUGCAUAACAAUCAUGGUAUAAACAUGGCAUCCCUUACUUAGCCCUAGAAAACGACUACUCACUCAUAACUAAAUUAAUAAAUAUGAAAUAUGAACUAAUGAUGAAAUUCAUAAUGAACAAUAAUAAGAAACAAUAAUUCAAAGCAAGAAGAAUUCUGAAAAUACCUCUAUAUUGAUCAAUGGAAUGAAACGUACUAGGGUUCAAUAAUAUGAAGAGAGAAAAUAAAAUUAAGCGUGAAAAGAAUUCUAGGAAUUAAAAACAUGAGGGAAAUAAAUUCAUUCCCUUGAAUUAUUUAUAGUUUCUAUUUUCUAAGAUAAAAAAAAAGAAUGAGAAAAUAAGAAAAUGAAAAUAAAAAUAUAAGUUGUCGAUAAUUAGUCGAUGGACGAUGACGUGGCAAUGAAACCCGAGCAGGACCAAGUCACCCAAACGACACAUAAGGGAGCUAUGUGGGCGGAGGCACCUCGCAGGCCGAAGGAUCCCUCGCUGGUCCCCAGGCAUCUCUCGUUGGGAUGUGCGCGAAGCGGGUUGGUGCGGGCAUGCAGGCAAUGCAACAAGGCAUCUAGGGAUCCCUCGUCGGGUGUCGAGCCAUCCCUCGCUGGAGGCUUGUUGUGAUGUGUGCGGCAAAGGGAUGGGCAAGUUGAUGUGGUGUGCAUGAUGAAGGGCAGCGACAGCGCGAGACCCCUCGCUGGAGGCGAGUGAACCCUCGAUGGGACUGUUGCGCGACGAAGCAUGGUGGGCGGAAAAUCCAGCGUGGGCGCUGGAUUUCCAGCGGGCACGACGUCAAGGUUAAAUUAGUUGAGAUCGAAGAGCUGGCGGGACCGCUGGGAGGGCGCUAGAUUUUGUGCACAAGGAGAGGGGUUGGGCCAGCGUUGUGGGUUGUGGGCUCAUUAGAUAGUUGAGUCACCUUUGUUUACGUCAUAACUCUUGUUCUACAAUGCCCCUAGAGACGUAUGACCAAUCGUUGGAAAGCUCUUUAAGCCUACUUUCUAGCCCAAUCAAAAUAUUUGCAUUUAGAUAUAUAGAACUUGAGAUAUCAUCAAAAGAGUGAACGCUUGUCCAUUUUGAUGCUUAGAAAAAUAAAGUUUAGCUUCGUUGUUGACUCAAAAUUAUCCCUAGAGACAUGUAAUGAUCUUCGAGUCAACAUCCCAUCCUUUCAUCAUCCAACUCAACUCUAAACACUCCGAAAGCAUCCAACUGACCGUAAAAAGUUAAAGAAAACACAAAUGGGGCGUACUAGAGUACGAUAACGACAACUUAUGCAAAUGUGACCCUAAAUGCAACUAAAAUGAGACGAAUGCCUAGAAAUGUAGCCUAAAUGCGCCUAAAAUACCAUAUAUAAAUAUGAUUCACCCGUUCUAUACAGGAUUUGUGUUCAUCAAAUAAUAAUAAUUCAUUUCCCAAGCUACGGGGUUUUUUGUUAUGGAUGUUUUAAGGUCUACUAUUUUUGUAGAUAGGUCAUUGACUGGUGUCUGGUUCUUAUUACCUUCCUUACUUGGUUAAUGUGGAAGUGGUGAAAGAUUAUGCUUGGGGUGCAGUGUGUUUAACUUACUUGUAUCGUCAGUUAGGGGUGGCUUCGAGGUUUGAAAAUGCCCAAAUUGUUGGUUGCUUAACUUUGCUUCAGGUAAAUUUUACCCAAACAAAUUUUGUUAUGGAUCAUAUUUUGGCUUUUUGUAAUUUGAAAUGCAAUAACUUUUUCUAGUCUUGGAUAUAUGAGUAUUUCCCAACAUUUAGGCCCCGGAUGAUGAAAAAUGGAAUUCAAAUUUGCUGCAUGCAUCACGAUGGGUCCCUCCGCGUGUUCAAAGUAUUGGCAUUGAUUAUGUAGUUUCUUAUAGGCGCAUGUUAGACGAUAUGAGAGUGGAAGAGUACUUGGGUGCUCGAGCUUACCCACUUCAUCGUGAUGUUAGAAACCAAACCGAUCAAGUGACAUUUUGGCAAUGCCUCGAUGAUUUAACUCAAAAUUUGGAAUAUUGGAUGUCGAGAUUACAAGAUGAUCAUAUGAGGAGAGGUGAAGGUGGUAGUUCAAGAAGGGGAGGUUAAUUUGUCGAUUUUUUUUUUCACGUUAUGGAUGUUUGUGAUAUUGAUGCUUUUGGUUUUUGUAGUACUAGUUUUUAUUUUUAAAUUGGAAUAAAGGAAGAGUUUUUAUUGUUGA